GGGGAGAAAAAUAAUUAACCCGUUUGAUCCUCAGAGUUCCAUAACAAUUUGAUAUCAGAAUUCAUGCCAACACCUCCAGAAAUCAACAUAUAAUAUCACUAUGACACUACUUGGUCAUGUUAAUUAUCACAAACAAAAAACACAAUUAUCUUGGAGAGAUCUGCUACAUGAUAUGGAGCAACAAAAGAAAACCAUCUACAAAAGGGGACAAAUUGUGCACAGGAAAAAGUACCUCAGGAAUAAACACAUUGAAACACAUAUUAAGAUGAAAAAUAUGGAAUCAAACUCAACAAUAUUUGACAGAAAUGAAAGACAGAUGUUUCACUUACAUAGGCCUAGUAGCAAGGAAAGACCAACUGAAUUCUAGUUCUUCCAACAGCUUCUUAUCUGACAGCAAUUUUCUGUUGAGCCACAAUCCACUCUCAUCACAGGGGAAGAAAGUCAGAUUAGGGCAUUUAACUUUCUCCAAAUAUACCAAGUCUGGAAAUGCAUCACGCAAUUCUCUCCAAUCUAUUUUUAAAUCACUCAAGUAUUUGACACGUAGUAUUUUAACUUUCCAUUUAUCAUUUGGUCCCUGGGAUUGACCCAGACCACAUAGUUUCCCUCCUCUGAUGUAGAGUUUCUGAAGGCACUCCAGUUUGCUAGGCAUCAGCCAACUGGGAGCUUCAGUUCCUGGGUAACACUGAAGAUCCAGUUUCUCCAAAUCUUUUGGAAGUUCUGGAUUCAAUCUAGUGUCCCUGAUUUCUCCAGAUCCGUUGUCUCGCUUAAAGGCAGUUAAUCUUUUUAAAUUUUUCUUAACACCUGAAAUUUUCCCUGAUUUGCCAAGAGAUUUCCCUCCCCACACCAUUGUUAGCUUUCUAAGUGCUGUAAUACGCUGGAGAGCAUUCAGGUCAUCGACUGUAGGGAAAUCAUCCUUAUUCGUGUAGAUGCUCAAUUUCCUCAGCUUCAACAAUCCUGCCAAAUCAUCAAGAGUACCAUAAUUUUUAACUUUCAAGUCACUAAUUACAAAUCCCUUAAGGACUUGGAGUUUUGUGAGUGACCCGAGCCACUUUGGCAUGUAAUCUAGCAAGUAGCACUCAGAAAUAUCCAAGUGCGUGAGGUUCUCGAGCGACACUAUCUUCUUUGGAAGCGCCUCCAGAUUGUGGCAUGCAUUAAGAUCCAAAAUCCUCAAAUUGGGCAGGUUCCAUAUGGUAUCAGGAAGCACAUCAACUCUAGAGACCCCUUGAAGGCUAAGAUACUUCAGAUACUUCAUAUUCUUCAACCCCUUCAAGAAUUCUAUCCCCUCCACUUCUAUGUGCCUUUUAGUCUCCUCAUCUUCUGUGUGCUUCUUGGACGAGUUAUCCCACCUUCCCAGACAAAGAACAUUAACAUUUUUCAUCAUCAAGAACAAUUCCACUUCAAAAUCAGGAUAAGGAUCAUUGACAUUGAACAAAGUUCGCAAUUUCUGUGGUUGUAGUUUCUCUGGUUCUGGAUGAGUACUUUUAUGUAAAUUAUGAUUAUUUUUCAUUAACAACGGCCGUGAAUAUCCCUCUUCAGUUUUCACUAAGCAAGCCCUUUGACAUGAUGAGAAGUCUGCAGUGGGAUUCCCCAAUCGAUCAAAGUUGAAGAAUCCAGCUUUCUCUGCGCGAGAAAUAACUGCAUAACGAAUCCAAGCAUGCAUUCUAAAUCCAACCAAUCUCCACUUCUUAAUAACAGGCUCAAUGAACCCCUUCCCCAUGAAUAUCUUCAAAAUCUUAUAAGCAACUUCCUCCGCCAAGUUUUUUUUUUUCUCUUCAUUUUGGCCAUUGGAAGGUUCACUUUGGCUCGUUUUCUUUUCCCCAUCAUCUUGAGGAUCUAUUAAACCCUCUCCAACCCACCAAUACAUUAACAGCCUCUUCUUGACAACAGCACCCUCCGGAAACACAGCAAAGCACAGCAAACAAAGCUUGUAACUUGAACAAAGACUGUUAUAACAUUCCUCAAAAUCCUUAAAAGCAGAACAACCUUGAAAUUUUUCAUUCGCAGGUAGUUGAAGCAUUUCAUCGAUCAAGUUACGGGCAUCAAGCCCACUGACUGCUUCUAUAUUCCGGUGCCCCUCAGUUGCCGAAGUCAUCUUAUGGGGUGACGGGAUCUGAAGCUUUAACUUCAUUACCAUAUCAGUAAUAGCCUUAAUAUUGGCAUGGAAUUGCUUGGUUGGGAAAGCAUUUGUCCCAUUCAGAGUCUGCUGUAUGUAGCUGACAACGCUUUUAAGUAUUUGACCUUGUUUUUGAAGAGUCAUAAAUUGCUUACUUACAUUGAGUUCCAGAUCUAUGAGUUUGCUAAAGGCGAUUUGAAUAAAGUUUAGAUCUUUCUCCAACUUCUCCAAUUGUUUGUGCAGUUUUUGAUAGUCUUCGUAGCGAGAGUAGCUGCCACUGUUGUUUGCACCAUUGUCGUCUUUCUUGCUGCUUGAAUCAUUCUGCUCCUUGUCCUUCUCGAAGAAUCCUAACGUCAAACACCCGCCAAAUCUGCUUCCAUCGAUUUCCUUCCUCUCACCAUCUCUGCCAUCGAUUGUGGUGUUUUUGCUGCUCUGGCUGUUGCUGUUGCCACCGGAGGCGGCAGGAGUUAACCGGGGAAAAGAGCCAGUGGCAACAUUCGUGCUAUCGUUGGUGGUGGUCGCCGGAGUGGACAGAGGAACAGAGCCAUCGGAAACAUCUGUGGUAAUGGCACCGUAGUUUUCAGUGGCGGGUUGAGAAGUAAGGCCGCUGCCAACAGCAUUGUUACCAUGGGUGGUGGCAGCGUCAGCGGCUGCGCUAUUGGUGUGUGAUGGGGGUGGGGGAAUGGAGUUCUUGGCUUUGGAGAGGAGAUGGAUCAAGUCAGGGAUAGAAUUGAUGAUAUCUGGAAUGGUUAAGGCAUUAUUAGAAUGAUUUGAUUGUGCAGAAUUCUCAGCAGAUAAUGAGGACAUGAUUAACACUUCUGGAAAUGGAGAUUAAUUUCAUCCACCGAAAAUACACAGAGAUUGAGGGCAGCGAAAGCCAAAAAAAAAAAAA
Molecule: unclassified non-coding RNA, 3005 nt
Filed under: Hevea brasiliensis (rubber tree)
Lineage: Eukaryota; Viridiplantae; Streptophyta; Magnoliopsida; Malpighiales; Euphorbiaceae
Source: RNAcentral